RNAcentral lists this ribosomal RNA (818 nucleotides) under uncultured bacterium. Its description in RNAcentral is "bacterial SSU rRNA". It matches the Rfam family "Bacterial small subunit ribosomal RNA", at positions 100 to 931 of the family's 1533-position model. The record is from RNAcentral.
GAACGGGUGAGUAACACGUGGGUGAUCUGCCCUGCACUUUGGGAUAAGCCUGGGAAACUGGGUCUAAUACCGAAUAGGACCACGCGCUUCAUGGUGUGUGGUGGAAAGCUUUUGCGNNNNGGGAUGGGCCCGCGGCCUAUCAGCUUGUUGGUGGGGUAAUGGCCUACCAAGGCGACGACGGGUAGCCGGCCUGAGAGGGUGACCGGCCACACUGGGACUGAGAUACGGCCCAGACUCCUACGGGAGGCAGCAGUGGGGAAUAUUGCACAAUGGGCGCAAGCCUGAUGCAGCGACGCCGCGUGAGGGAUGACGGCCUUCGGGUUGUAAACCUCUUUCAAUAGGGACGAAGCGCAAGUGACGGUACCUAUAGAAGAAGCACCGGCCAACUACGUGCCAGCAGCCGCGGUAAUACGUAGGGUGCGAGCGUUGUCCGGAAUCAUUGGGCGUAAAGCGGGAGUAGGUGGCUGGACAUGUCAGAAGUGAAAGCCCUGGGCUUAACCCAGGAAGUGCUUUUGAAACUGUUCAGCUUGAGUGCCGGAGAGGUUGCUAGAAUACCUGGUGUAGUGGUGAAAUACGUAGAUAUCAGGUGGAAUUCCGGAGAGGAAGCUGGGUAACUGGCCGGACACUGACACUCAUCCCCGAAAGCGUGGGGAUCAAACAGGAUUAGAUACCCUGGUAGUCCACGCCGUAAACGAUGGAUACUUGGUGUUGGAGGUAUUGACCCCUUCAGUGCCGAAGCUAACGCGUUAAGUAUCCCGCCUGGGAAGUACGGUCGCAAGAUUAAAACUCAAAGAAAUUGACGGGGACCCGCACAAGCG